RNAcentral lists this ribosomal RNA (473 nucleotides) under uncultured Desulfobulbus sp. Its description in RNAcentral is "bacterial SSU rRNA". It matches the Rfam family "Bacterial small subunit ribosomal RNA", at positions 917 to 1381 of the family's 1533-position model. Lineage: Bacteria; Pseudomonadati; Thermodesulfobacteriota; Desulfobulbia; Desulfobulbales; Desulfobulbaceae. The record is from RNAcentral.
GACGGGGCCGCACAAGCGGUGAGUAUGUGGUUUAAUUCGAUGCAACGCGAAGAACCUUACCUGGUCUUGACAUCCCGGAGACCCUUAGGAAACUAGGGGGUGCUUCCAUCUGGAAGAAUCUGGAGACAGGUGCUGCAUGGCUGUCGUCAGCUCGUGUCGUGAGAUGUUGGGUUAAGUCCCGCAACGAGCGCAACCCUUGCCUUUAGUUGCCAGCAGUUCGGCUGGGCACUCUAAAGGGACUGCCGGUGUUAAACCGGAGGAAGGUGGGGAUGACGUCAAGUCCUCAUGGCCUUUAUGACCAGGGCUACACACGUACUACAAUGGCCGAUACAAAGGGCAGCGACACUGCGAGGUGAAGCCAAUCCCGUAAAAUCGGUCUCAGUCCGGAUUGGAGUCUGCAACUCGACUCCAUGAAGUUGGAAUCGCUAGUAAUCGUGGAUCAGCAUGCCACGGUGAAUACGUUCCCGGGCCUU